AUCCAGCUGACGAGUCCCAAAUAGGACGUAACGCGCGUCAAACUGGAU
Molecule: non-coding RNA, 48 nt
Organism: Schistosoma haematobium
Lineage: Eukaryota; Metazoa; Platyhelminthes; Trematoda; Strigeidida; Schistosomatidae
Source: Rfam